This 259-nucleotide unclassified non-coding RNA is filed under the name Hevea brasiliensis (rubber tree). Lineage: Eukaryota; Viridiplantae; Streptophyta; Magnoliopsida; Malpighiales; Euphorbiaceae. The record is from RNAcentral.
GUUGAAACUCCUUGAGCAAUACAGUCCAGGUAAGGAGCCAUAUGGAUCCUCUCCAAGUCAUCAUAAGAUGAAAUGGUAUUUCCUUCAUUCAAACCUUUAUCAGUCCCCCCAUCUCCAACAAAAUGUUUUGCACAUGCAAUGACGUUAUUUCUUCCAGCUACAAAAGGAUAGCCCUUUGGGUAUCCUUCAGGUGGCUUCCCUUGCAACCCUUCAACUAAAGAAGUCAUUUUUCUAACAACUUCAGUAUCUUCACUGAAAC